Long non-coding RNA from Psammomys obesus (fat sand rat), 387 nucleotides. RefSeq lists it as uncharacterized. NCBI's taxonomy places the organism in Eukaryota, Metazoa, Chordata, Mammalia, Rodentia, Muridae. The transcript has 3 exons. The record is from RefSeq and is a predicted model, not a curated record.
AAGGAGGAUCCAUGCCGCAGCGCGGAGGGAGAGAGCUGAGGGUGCCGGGUGCCGGGCUGCCCAGACAGCAUCAUUGACAGGACCACCACCCCCCAGUCUCAAGCUGCUCUGCAGCUUGGAAGCUCUGCAAAGCUAGCCAUGGGGAAGAGAAUAUCAAGAUCUUACGUAUUCCAAGCUAGCCUCAAAUUCUGUGUCCUUACCAAUCAGCGACACCAGCUGAGAACGUGAAAUGAAGAGGAUGAGCAGGAAAUACAGGGUCAGCCAGGAAACAGGCCUGUGUUUACAACUCAACUUACUCCUCCCUGUCUGUACCUUCUCUUUAUUGACAUGUGAAAUAUGGGUUGUUGCAAUAGCUGUUCAGGCAGAAAAUAUUAAUCAGAAUUAUCU